UUUUUCCUUCCAUCAUUCACUCGGUUAGGAGUUUCCGGGCCUUUUUUUGUGGGCGGACGGGGCAACCGGUUACCGGCUGCUGGCCUCCAUCUUUCCUUCCUAUUAUUAUGGAUCGCUUCCCAUUACGUCCAAGUUUCUGGUUGAUUCAUCAAUGCGGCAGCUGGUCAAAGCGGUGCCCCCGAGCCCCCUACCCCAUCUCUCUUCCAGUCUUCUUCCCUAUUGCCGCAUCCUCAUUCUUCCCUAGGGCCAUCGCCCUCUUUUCCCUGUCUGGCCGCCGAGGCGGUUGAUGGCGUGGAGGAGGAGCUCGCAUGGGAUGGCCAUGAGGGUCCUGCGUGCUGGAGGGAUUGACUGGCCGGCCCUUGCUGCCGUGCCCAGGCCACAACCUGAUGUGUCGUGUUUCCAUGCCGAUCUGCGGCCAGGUCUUCACGUGCGACAACGAUUCGGCUGGGAAGGGGCGCUGAUGAGUCCUUGAGAGAAAUCAUGGGUACCAGGAUGUUGCUACGCCUCCUCUCCAUCCCGUCGUUCAUGUGGGUCUUCUCCCCCUUUCCUCUUACUAAUUCCAUUUUUCCGAUCUAUUCGUGAGCCUAGGUUAUUCUUCCCCUCUCUCUUAUCGAUUCCAUUUUUAUCUGUAUCUUUUGGUUUGCCCAGGUGCUGGCUUAGAUUAUUGUGUUCUCAGCAUACGUUCUAAGGGAUCAAUUUAUAUUUGAUUUCUGCAUCUUCAAAACUACAACUUCUACCGUAGUUCAUAUCAACCAAUACUAAAAAUAAUAUUUUACAGGGAAACCAAUAGGGUGACUAUGCAGCAAUCCUUGGUGAAAGAUUUGUUGUCCGGAGGGUAUCAAAGAAAAAUCAUUGCCCGUGUCGCCCAAAUCUGGCAAAAAUUAUUCGAGUUGGACUUUAUUAUUGUUAAUAAGAUGUACCUUCUAAAUAUUCAGCUACUUCACUUACUUAUUAUAUCACUCAUAAACACAAUGCAUACAAUUAGCUACAGGAAAUCAUCUUAGCAUUUGUGAAUGCCCACUCCAUUAUUGAAGAAAAAUAAGUGAACACUUGUGUUUUUUUGCCGACAAACAUGCACUAAUUUCCAAGUUCAGAAAAUGACUACAGGAAGGUUCGAUCUAAUAUCUUUUGUUGUUGCUAGGUUCCAUGGUUCCAUCUACAGGUUUGAGUCUUUUGUUGUUGCUGCAGCGCGCCUAAAGUUUUUACUCUGUUCGCAUACAAGGAGAAUUUGAUUGAUGUUCUGCAGUCCCAACACCGUUCUAUCAGAUGUUGCUGCACUGGUGAUAACUGUUAAUGGAUAUUUCACAUUUCACUCCGUCGAAGACAAAUCAACAGCGAAGGAGGCAUAUAUGCUAAAAGAUGCUAGGCUGCAAACGCAAGCAUGUUCCCUCUAGGUAUUCCAAGGUGUUAAGUGAUUUUCUACAUAGAGUGCUACAAAGUAUGACUUGGAUUGUUCUUGCAAAUUGCUCUGUCAAAAGAAGCAAUUUGGAAUCUACUAGAAUGAUAUAUUAUCCUCAUAUCAGGACCUUAGAGGCAAGAAAAAAGAACACAUUAUGUUUGGCAUAUGAUUCUCACUUCAGUUUUUCAGUUUAUGAAUUUCUGUAAUUUUGAUGAUUCUUUGUUUCAUGACUUUUAAAGAGCAUAAUGAUUGCAACUAUUUUCAUACCAGGUUUUGGAAAUGUGUUGCUGGUGUUUUAAGCCCAUCGCUGCCCAGUGCAGAGCAUGCCUCCAGUGAUCUUUGAUGCUAAUUUAUAAAACAAGGUGUCGCAAAGGAAGUGGGUUCGAUGGAGAGGAAGUUGGUGCUGGGUUUCCUUGAAUUGGUUGCUAUGCGUCUCCUUCUCACAAACAUGAUGUUCCUUGGGUGAUGUUAAUUUGGUUGAAAGAUUAUUCAGACUGUUUACCACAUGCUAUUUUUCCAAAUGGGUCGUUCUGGUGGCGAGACGUGUGCAGUUUGUAUAAUAUUUUCAGAGGAAUCACUCAUUGUUCAGUCAAGGCUGGAGACACAGUAUUAUUAUGGAAAUAUCUCUGGACUGGAAACGAUAUCCUGCAGCAUUAGUUAUUGCAUUUAUUCUCCUAUUCGGAUCAAGAACAUGUUUGUGUUGCAGAGUAGUUGGAGAAUAAUGACCCAGCCAUGCACUUUGCCGUGGUCUCUGGAAGCUCAUGAGGAACUGCAUAUCUUCGACGAGCAUGUCAGCAAUAUUCAGAUGGAGGUGUUGCAGCCAGAUGAAUGGAGUUAUGCGUGGGGAGCUACGGAUUUCAGAGCACAGAAAUACUAAAAGUUUGUAUUCAGAGAUGUAUGUCCUGUUCCUUUUCUUCCUAAGAUUAGGAAAACGAAAUGUAUGAUGUAGCACAGAUUUUUCGCCUGACUUCUGACUAUGGAUAAACUCAAUACCCGAGACAUGUUGUUUGGAGAAAUUGCCCUAUUCCCAAUGUUAAUUUUGUUAUCUAUCAGUUCCACAGGGAGACAAGUGACCAUCUGUU
Long non-coding RNA from Lolium perenne, 2481 nucleotides. RefSeq lists it as uncharacterized. Lineage: Eukaryota; Viridiplantae; Streptophyta; Magnoliopsida; Poales; Poaceae. The record is from RefSeq and is a predicted model, not a curated record.